CUCCCCUCGUGAGAAAGCAAGGAGACACGGACAGAGCGCACCCUCCCCCCUAUCACUGCCCAAGGGUUCGACUCUAAUUCGCACAAGAUGUUUGAUGUUCAACAGCCUCUUGUUCUCAUUCGCGGUUGUAAUCAGAUACAAUGGGGCAACUGUGAGAGCAAACAACCCUGAGGCAAUACAGCCAAACAGGAGUCCAUUUUCAGCCCUAAACGAUGAUGUCAUCACGCCAAUGUGACCGGCUUGGGUUUCACCGUCGGAUCAAUUAUUCACAGCGUUUAAUUGGAUCAACUGGAUCCGGAUCACACCAGGGAUUCAUUUCCAAUGAAUGGUAACCGCUCCACACAGUGAGAGAAAAGAAGAUGGUGGGGGUGACGAUCUCAGUGUGUAGGGUGAAGGCCAGUCUGUGAUGAUGCUGCAUUCAUUAAUCACACAGUGGAGUACAGUGUCGUUCACAGCCUCUUAGUCAUCACAUAUUCCCACUCCACUCUUGCCUUCAACUCAUCAGGGGCCUCCCAGGCAUAGGUGGCCUUUGUGCACAACUAACCGGAACAGUACUCCCCUUAUUAGUGCUGGUUUUCAGUCCAGACUAUAGUACAGAGAGGCUUCCAUUCAUGGGGUGGAGUUGGAAACACAAGGCCUAUAUCUCUGAGGACGUGUAGAAAGAGCAGUUCAUUCAUCUUUUAAGCAUGGGAGUCUCAUAAGAGAGGGUCUUGUUUUUCGCCCCCAAGUAAACACAGUCAUCUCGGAUUUCUCAUGUUUGUAUUUUACCUUGAACGUCCGUCGUCUUUUGUCCCCAUUCUUGCUUACACAGCCUUCGUUGCAUGUGAUUGAUGGAAAUAUUCAUCUGUUAGAUAGUCCCGUGCACACUUGGGUAAACGAUAUUGUUAAAGCGCAUGACUUGCUGAAAAGAUUUAUAGGAGCUCAAGUAGCCAAAACGGAGUAGCCUUAGGGCGUGAAUACUCCUCAUUCAUUCCCUCCGUGAACUCAGUACUGAGUAUCUUUUGGCAGGUUGUCAGACCUGCUUGUGUGCAUAAAAUAGCAACAAAAGUGACCUGAGCUUUGACCCCCAAGCAUGCUGGAGCUUUGGAAAACAUGACUGUGCUUGAUUGUGAGACUUGUCGUCUAAUCACACCACGCUGAACUCAAUGACCUUAUGUCUU
Nerophis ophidion (straightnose pipefish) is the source of this 1160-nucleotide long non-coding RNA. RefSeq lists it as uncharacterized. The record is from RefSeq and is a predicted model, not a curated record. The transcript has 3 exons. Lineage: Eukaryota; Metazoa; Chordata; Actinopteri; Syngnathiformes; Syngnathidae.